Molecule: non-coding RNA, 73 nt
Organism: Ictidomys tridecemlineatus (thirteen-lined ground squirrel)
Lineage: Eukaryota; Metazoa; Chordata; Mammalia; Rodentia; Sciuridae
Source: Rfam
UGGGUUGUAGUUCAUUGGUAGAACACUUGCCCAUCACAUGCUAGACCCUGGGUUCAAACCCCUAGCAACCCUG